AUGUUCCCGCGGUCAUCCACUGCACCGCCAACAUCCUCUCUCCGGCCGACCUGCAGCUGGGGGAGGUCUCAAACUACAGCUGGAGGAGGUCUCGACCUGCAGCUUGCCGCGUCUGCCGCUGCCGCCGAGGUCCACCACAUACACUCGAUGUUGCGGCAACCACCCCCACCACUGUCCGUUGCCGAUGCGUGCAACCACGUCCAGCCACCCACUGGACGUGGGCACAGAGGCAGGGCCAUGCCGAGGGAGCUCGAGCUCAACCACCCACAGCUGGUUCCCCUGCAGGUUGCAGCGGAAAAACAAAAUGCAGAAGUUCAAAGAUGA
RNAcentral lists this ribosomal RNA (324 nucleotides) under Triticum aestivum (bread wheat). Its description in RNAcentral is "partial small subunit ribosomal RNA". The record is from RNAcentral. Lineage: Eukaryota; Viridiplantae; Streptophyta; Magnoliopsida; Poales; Poaceae.